This 253-nucleotide ribosomal RNA is filed under the name uncultured bacterium. RNAcentral describes it as "partial 16S ribosomal RNA". It matches the Rfam family "Bacterial small subunit ribosomal RNA", at positions 524 to 776 of the family's 1533-position model. The record is from RNAcentral.
GACAGAGGUGCCAAGCGUUAGGCGGAAUCACUGGGCUUAAAGCGUGUGUAGGCGGGUGCCUAAGUACCUUGUGAAAUCCCCCGGCUCAACCGGGGAACGGCUGGGUAUACUGGGUGCCUUGGGUCAUCUAGGGGCUGCCGGAACAAAUGGUGGAGCGGUGAAAUGCGUAGAUAUCAUUUGGAACGCCAACGGCGAAAGCAGGCAGCUGGGGAUGCACCGACGCUGAGACACGAAAGCCAGGGGAGCGAACGGG